UUUUAACAACUCAUCUAUGCACCAUAACUAUAAAAACAAAUAUUAACUUGAACUUAUGUGUAAAAAUGAGUUUUAGUUAUAAAAUAAAUCUCAAAAACAUAUGCAAAAAAAACAAUCAUAAUACUAUAAUAAAAUAAUUUUUAUUUUAUAGUUUUUAUUAAAAUAAAACAUCAAACAAAACCCGUUGCGUUGCAACGGGCUCAUAUCUUGUGUUUACAUAAAUGUUUGUUUAUUAUUUAUGGAAAAAUAAUAUUAUUCACCUAAAUAAUGAAUUACGAAACAUAUACAAUACAAUUCUAAUUAAUGAUAAUAUAAAAUUUGUUACUUCUAAAACUAUACACUAUUUAUUCUAUUUUUUGAAUGAAAGUAUCUUCGUAAACACACAAAAUAUUUUGUGACGUUGCAAUUAUACGUACACACAAUAUAUGCUUCUUCAUACUGACGUUACUGUGUUCCCUCUCGUGAAGUACGGACCGAGAGAGAACACAGGAUGCGGACCGAUCAUGUUCUUAUGACCGGUCACCUAGUUAGAAUUAUAUUUGCUGCUUAAAAUGUUGUACAAUUAAUCAUGUCUGUAUAUAGUAAUGAAAAAUUGCCGACUUGGGAUAACAAGUCAAGCCCUGGGAAAAGAGACGAGAACUCUUGACUGAUCAUGCAAGGACAAUUGAUCUUCAGAAUGGAGAAGAAACUCCUGAGAGUAUGAAAGGUGCAAAGAAGAAGACCACCUCAAAGGAUUGUACUUCUCCUUGCUUUGUGAUAUGUCAAGAUUGAUUUUCAGGAUGGAGAAGAGGCUUCUGAAAGUGUGGAAGGUGCAAAGAAGAAGAAAACCUCAAACAUUAGGUUGGUCAUGGCAAGGAUGUACAUAUUGUAACUAUAAAAUCUGUUUCCCGUAUUCCAAGAAAAAGACCCCAAAAUAACAUCUUGUGCUUUUGUUAUGUUCCUAUAACUUUAGAAACCAGAAACACUAGCAAUGUGUUUCUUCAUAGCUCUAUCUUUAUGGUUAUGAUUUCUUC
Molecule: long non-coding RNA, 1013 nt
Organism: Brassica rapa (field mustard)
Lineage: Eukaryota; Viridiplantae; Streptophyta; Magnoliopsida; Brassicales; Brassicaceae
Source: RefSeq, a predicted model, not a curated record